UUUUUUUUAAAAACAGAUAUGUCAAAGCUAUUAACUUUUCGAGCAUUUUAAGGUAAAAUAAAAUGGGGGUCACCAGACUUUUAAAAAAGUUACGAGCUUUUGUUUGACCCCUCUACCCCAUAAGGUCUGAUUUCAAUGCACUCCAUUAAUUACUUAAUUGUGAAUUUUUUAUUGACGGCUUUAAUAAAAUAGUGUUUGUAAUUAUAUCAAUAAACGAUGGCUGAAUAUAAAUGUGGUUAUCGUAUUACUGUUUGUUAUCAAAAAGCGAAAUUUUGAUUAUUUUGGUGAAAUACGGUAAUUUUGUCUGGCGCGAGUUGCUUCCCUCUAAUUUGGCGCCAUUAUCGGACCAGAGGAAUUUCAAGGUCGCCAUUGCCGAGCAGCAUACUACAUUGAUGAAUACGGCCAUGUACAUGCAUAACAGACAUUGUGGCGAAUAUACAACGAUGAAGGUAGAGUUAUUACAUAAGAAAACAUAGAUUUCGAUAUAUAAGGCAGCCAAAUGUUAUCAGUAUCACGAAAAAUACAAACUUGGGGGUUGUCUCAAAAUACCCGCUACUGUUAAAAAUCACUGCGGCUGAAACCUUGCACGGGCUCAAUUUCUGUUCCAUGUUUAGUCGUUAUAGCUGGUAUCUUAUUUAUGUGUUUAUUUUACCCUUUAAAGACAAGUUGUAAACAUGUCUGCCAGUUUUGAAAAAUAUCCGUGUGACAUCUACUAUGAAGCACCACAACUGUCAUGUUUACGCUACCGUUAGUGUCAAUGAAUUAGUCUUUUUAAUCAUCAUUUGUAAUAUCUAAUUUAGUAGCCAAGUUAGGGUCACAUGUAUGUGGGGUACCCCAUAACUUCCCUCGGACAGUUUCUACUCCCAGCCCCAAAUAUAUUUCCCUUCCCUUUUAUCCUAAAAUAUUCUCCUCUUACUUCAAUACUUCCAUCUCCUUGCUCCAAGACAAAAUAAAAAUGACUAAAUAUAUAACCAAGAUACCCCUUUUUCUCUGAUCCCUCAACCCCCUGUCUCCUUACCCCUGUCAACCCCUCAAUUAAGGUCAUCUGACAAGGGGUUUGAUUGACUUGUUUGUUUUCUUAAGAAUAUGAUAUAAAAGACCUAAUUUAUUAAUGAUAAACCCUACAGUAGGAGGAAAUACCUUUAAUCGAACGAUUCUUCUUGAUCAACCACAAUUUGUUUACCAUUAACCCCCUCCCCCCCCAAAAAAAUAAAAAAUUUAAAAAAUCUGUAAGGUACACAAAAAUUUCACAAGGUCUAGUAAUAGUAGUAUCAGGGUUAAACAUGUACAGAGUGUGACCAUAAGUAUUUGUCACUUAGAUUUUUAGCUGUUCAUGUAUAUUGCAUAUAAAACUACAUUUUUCAAAAAAAAAUAUUUUGGAUUGAUUUUAAGCAGAAAUUAGUUAGAUAUACUGUUCCCAAUUUUAAGCAACCUGGUACCAAUAGAAAAUAUUUUAUGUGUUCUCAAGGGAAUACAAAAACACAUGCAAACGAACCCAUUAUCAAAUAAAUACAUAUUAAUUUAGACCAUUCUACUUCUUUUAAGGCCUCGUAGAUAAAAAUCCAACUAUAAAUGCCCUCAAUUUUUUUUUGAAGAAAUGUGUUUUUAUAUGAAAUAUAUAGCAAAAAAAUGCAGGGGACAAAUACUUUUGGCCAGGUACUGUGUAUUUUGAGUUGAAAAAAUCAUUACUGUUUUGUGAAUAGUAUUUUUUUUAAUAAAUACAAAAUUUGUGUAUCCUAUAUUCCAAACAGGGUACAAGAAGCCUCAGCAUGAGGACUGAGCUGCAUUUCAGAAUUGAAGGCAGCCGAACAGCAAGAAGUUUUUAUUCAACCUAUAGAAACAAAAUUUCUAUUUACACUUGUGCAUGUAAUUAUAUUUUGUUUGCUCAUUAUUGAUCACCACAAAUUCUUCAUUAUUUUUACACCAUAGCGGCAGGGGCAUUUAGUUUUACCCUUGCGUUGUCAGUCUUAUCAAACUUGCAUGUACAUGUAUGUCCCAAAUUUGGUUUCUGUUCUCUAACUUCAGUUUGCCUCUACCAAUGUUAUGAAACUUAUACACAAUUAAUGCAUAUAUAUGGUUAUUACCAACAAACACACAUGAAGUUUGAAUUUUUGAUGGGGUUGCUUUUACUUAUCUAGAGUUAUGCCCCUUUACAAAUUAAAAAAAUGCUGAAUUUUUGUUCCUUUCUUUCAUCCAAAUUUUUUGAAACUUAUAUGCAAUGCUUACUACAACAACACUCAGAUCAAGUACAAAUUUGGGUGGUGUUACUCUUUUCAUUCUUUAUAUGCAAGUGGCUGCUCAUCUGUGUCCCAUGGACACAUGACCCAUUAUGAACUAGUCUACAUCUAUAUGCUUUUGAAUGUCAAUAAUUUGUUGAUUUUUUGACAGAAUUACUCUGAUAUUUAAUUUCAGGCUGCAAGUAAAUUUGUACAUGUACAUGCAAAUGGAAGGAGUGAUCUUGGAAUGUUUAACUUUACUGGGAAACUAUUGGCCAAGUACUGACAGAAGUCUGAAUUUCAUGAGAAGCCAGUAUCAUAUUCUAGUCUUGUAACCGGAAACUAUGUGUACAGUGCUGAAACUUAAGAACAACAUUCUACAUGUAUAUGCAAUAUGUGUUGCCACAAUCCAUUUAAGGAGAUAAGAUCAACUAUAAAUUGGAACUACAUGUACAUGUAUAUGCUUUAGUGCUGUCAAAAUCCUUAAAAAAAUCCAAUCAAAAGGACCUACUUCACCUGCCUGUCCCAAUGAUGAAUACAGAUCAUUUAUAUAUAUGGAGUCUUAUAAAAAACACUGAAGGGGAAUAAAAAUAAUGAAAAUAUAUAGCUGAUCAGCUAAUUAUUGUACAUGUACAUGAUGUGUAAAUGGCAACAAUACUAAC
RNAcentral lists this long non-coding RNA (2878 nucleotides) under Mytilus galloprovincialis (Mediterranean mussel). The record is from RNAcentral. Lineage: Eukaryota; Metazoa; Mollusca; Bivalvia; Mytilida; Mytilidae.